CGCUGGGCACCGGGUCUUCCUGGCGUCGUGCCGGUGCCGCUGGAGACCCUUCAGAGGCCCGGCCCUAGCAGGACCUUCUUGAAGCAAAACACGCGGCCUGCUCCCUUCCAAACGCCUCCCGUUUUCCCGUCGCUGCCGUUGGGAGAGCUGUAAACCAGGAUUUCUGUGCGCAGGGACUGGGAUCCGAAGCAGCUCAGGCGGCGGGGGACAUCGCUCCUGUAUCUCAGAUAUUCUUGUGAGGAGCCGCUGAGAGACGUAAAAGACUCGGCAUACUCCCGUGUACGGUUGGUUUCCUCCUCUCAUCCUCUAGACGAGUUGCUGUCCAAGAAACAUGGGAGCCACAUAGGAAAUUUUAAAAUGUCGACGAGGCACCUACCAAUUUCCAAAACCCGGUGUAGCUUUGACCUGCAGCAUGCCUCAGUCGGGGCUGUCCUGUUUCCAGUGGCCAGAAGCCGCCUGUCAGGGCUCCUCUGGGUGCAGCUCAGGCCAUGCGAUGGUCAUGAACGGGGUGAGGAGCCAGACAGCACAGGGACUAAACUAACAAGGCAUGAGCCAUGAAGCACAGAAAAGGCCCCCCUGGUCCCUUUAAAAGCAUCACUGCUCAAAAGGGCUUCUCCGUGGCUCUCAAUCACAGUUACAGAGCCCCAGUGACCGUCCUGACACACCUGCUCCAUCCUACAGUGCAAUGGGCUGUGGCAAGUACUCAAGGAGAAUAAAAGCAUGGCACAGCUUCUGUUAACUCUGGGAUGGGAUGCGGGGGAGGUGGGAGAGAGUGGUGGUUACGGCUUAGGCAGAGGAUACUCACAUCAGCUCGUAGUUUCUGCGGAUCGCCUCUGGUAUAUUGGGCUUUGUCACCCGCACAGCCUGGGGAAGGAUAAAAAGAGCACCUGAUGAGAAGGCGAAGGUAGGGUGACCAAGGUAAGCAGCUUCCCCUUGGUCCUCGAUCUUCCUGCACAGAAAGGACAUCCCUUGAAAGAGGGGAUGCACCUUCAUCAGGGGACGCUCCCACGGUGGCAAUGCUUACUUGGAUGACAAGCCCAGGGGCCAUGGAGGUCAGGUCCUGUUGCAAAGCCAGUUUGAGGUUUUCAUCAAUUUGAUCUGGAAUCAAGAAAG
Molecule: long non-coding RNA, 1113 nt
Organism: Pipistrellus kuhlii (Kuhl's pipistrelle)
Lineage: Eukaryota; Metazoa; Chordata; Mammalia; Chiroptera; Vespertilionidae
Exons: 3
Source: RefSeq, a predicted model, not a curated record